GUGCACGACUGGCGAGCGGCCGCGGGAGGAGGUAGGAGGCGAGCGUGGUCCGUCUGCGUUGGGCGUAAAGAGGUCGCAGGCGGGUUGGCAAGUCGGAGGGGAAAACCCGAAGCUCAACUUCGGGCCUGCAUCCGAAACUGCCCGACUAGAGGUAGGUAGGGGAGAUCGGAAUUCCUGGUGUAGCGGUGAAAGGCGCAGAUAUCAGGAGGAACACCGGUGGCGAAGGCGGAUCUCUGGGCCUUACCUGACGCUCAGGUGCGAAAGCUAGGGGAGCGAACAGGAUUAGAUACCCUGGUAGUC
Molecule: ribosomal RNA, 300 nt
Filed under: uncultured Polaromonas sp.
Lineage: Bacteria; Pseudomonadati; Pseudomonadota; Betaproteobacteria; Burkholderiales; Comamonadaceae
Description: bacterial SSU rRNA
Rfam family: Bacterial small subunit ribosomal RNA
Source: RNAcentral